RNAcentral lists this long non-coding RNA (9075 nucleotides) under Equus caballus (horse). Its description in RNAcentral is "lncRNA (ENSECAG00000044686.1)". The record is from RNAcentral. Lineage: Eukaryota; Metazoa; Chordata; Mammalia; Perissodactyla; Equidae.
UGCUUACAAUGAUGUGCUGGUUAAAAAAUGAGCUGAUCCGAUUUUACUGGCCUUAUUUGACUUUAUUUCUCUGUUUUGGUCUCCUCAUUUAUCCUUUUCCUUACAGAUCAAAUAGAUAUUAAAUGAAGAGCUCAAAAUUAUUUUAAAAAACAAUGUUGAAUCCAAAUUGCAGAUAUCUAUUCAGUAAAUCAUGCUAAGUAGAUAAGAUUCUUAUUUCUUCUUAUUUACCUAAAAAAAACCCCAAAAGCUGGUUGUGUUUUGGCUUCAGAAAGCGAGAUCUUGUAGUUGAGACAGGAUAGAAAUAGCCUUUAAAAGCUAAAUGAAAUGAAUAGUCUUGCAAAGGGAAAAAAAGAGGAAUUUUUCAUGAGUCCCUGGAAACCAGCAAAAAAGCAUCAAAACUGUUGUUUUCAGUAAUAAUUGUGAUUACUUGGUUAAAAUACCCCGUACGAGAAGCUUUCGAUGUUUUUUGUGCCUCUACAAGGAAAAUUAAAACAGAACACACAGCAUUGGGGCCAAUUUGUUUCCAAGGAAGUCAAUUAUUAAUACUGUAUUUAGUAUUUAAUGAACUAAGCCGAUGUAUGUGAAACGCUGCAGAGAUCUCCUUACCAGCGGAGAACAGGUGUUGAUAGAAGCUUUGCCCGUAUGUUUACCAGCUGAUUAGUACCCAUUAAAAUGAUAAUAAUCUAAUAAAAAUUACUUUAUGUCUAGUGAAAGUUGAAAGUCCCCUGUGUAUUGGAGAAUGAUUUUUUUUCUAUUGCAUGGCAGUGAUAGGAUUGAAGUGACAAGAAUCCACCCCCAAAGCAGCGUGAAUGUUCUGAAUUUCUAUGCCUUAGACUUUUCACUUCAAGUGUCCCUUUCUCCAAAGGUUGACUCUGGCAGUCAGGACACUUCACUGUUUUUCAUGGCUUCAAGGGAAGGACAGUUACCAACCCACCAAAAUCCUCUGGCAAUAGGAAAAGGAAUCAGAUCCUUAGUAAACGACACUACCUUGUCCAUCUUAGGAGACCAGAGGAGAAACUAUGGGUGUCCUGAAGGACUGUUCUGGGCUUUGGUUGUCCCAGACAGCCCCGAGCAGUUGCUAAGGAAACUCUGAGCCAUCUGUGAGCUGGCAGUUUCCUGGGAAACCCUUGAUUUCAGGCUAGCCGUAGUCAAAAUUGUUAUGAAUGUGAGGUCACAUCAUCCCCAGCCUCACACUUCUGACCCCUUCUCUUCAUGACGUGCUCCACUCAUUCUGUCUCAGCUGAGCCUUGCACACUUUACUCUUGCUCUUCUACCAAAAGCUGAACUCAGGAAAUUUUCAGGAAUUUGGUUAUACGAGGUGAUGGAAUAGGGACCCAGGGUUUUCCAGAAACCAAGAGUAAUUCUAAAAGGCAAGACCUUAAGGGACAUCCUCUUCUUUGGCCGUCAAAGCAACCGGAGCUGUCACUGGGAUUAGCAGACAGAGGAUCAUGAUGGGGUUCUCUUUAGCUAUGAAACGAGGAAGAAGAAAAUCUUCUCUUAACAAUAAUAUACACGUGCCAUGAGAGAGAUGAAGCAGAAGAUUAAGCAAGAAACCCAGCUAUUUUAUUGCCCUAAGGCAUUACUCAUUUUCCUGACACAUUAUGUUUUUAAUUAAAAUUGCAUGUGAGUUAAUUAAAAUAUUCACUCAGGCCCUUUUUUCCCUCUUCCUGCUUGGGUUCCUUGCUACUCUUUUAGCUUUUUGGUAAAACUCAGUUUCAUUUUAACUCAGGUGCCUUUAUCAGCUGCAACUUUAAUAAAGAGUCUGUAUACUGAGGUAACUAAAAAAAUAAAAUCUAAUUUUAAAAAUUCACCCCUAAGUGACCAAGGUAAAGGGAUGUGGCCAGGAGUGAAAUCAUUAAGUCUUUUAUGUUCUUCCCUGCUUAUUUAAUCAAAAACAUGAAAUUAUCAUUGAUAGAAAGUGUAUUCAGAAGAAGUACUGUGAUUUUUUCCUAUGCCAGGCGUGUUUUUCUUGUUAUAGACACGUUUAUCCAUCUACAGUCCUUUGUUCAGGAAAGGAUCAUAGCUUAUGGCACCUACGGUUGUGUAACCUCAGCUUUCCCUGAUUACAGCUGAUUAUUAGCCUUUAGUGGACAUCUAUCCAGUUCAACCUAUCAAUGGAUCAGUAACCCUGAGAAACAAAAUCCCUCUUGUGUAGACACUCAGAGACCUUGGUUACUGAUGAGUCCAUAUUGGAUCUGUGAGGACAAAUAGGCCAGUACUGGAGGCCAUAUUGGGUCGCUUGUAAACAAAGGAAGAAUAGACAGGAAGAAGCAGAGAUAGUUGCAGCCACGUGGCUAUGAGACAGACAAGAGAGAACCUUCAGUUUCAGUGUCUUCCCCAUCUACUUCCCUUGAGGCCUGGCUGAGUCCUUACUGUAUCCCUGAGAUGGCUUUUUUUUUUUUUUGCAAAAACCCCUUUUUAAGAGUUAGCUAAAAUGAAUUCUGGAUCCUUGUAAACAAUGAGCUCUAACUAAAACAUCUGUGCUUCAAAACUCCAUAUAUUCCUAAGCAGCCCUGACAGAGAUAAUAUUAAAAAGCAAAACCAUAAAAUGGGUAGUAAGAAACCAGUUAUUGCAGUUCAAGAAUAUAUAGGCUGAAGCCGCCUGGUCGAAGUGAAGUCCAGGAGAGAGAAGAGUGUUUUUUCCAACUGUAGUAGAACCCCCUUCGUGAAAAGUUUGGGAAAAAUCUGUUUCUGUUCUUUUUUCAUUUUUUUUCCAUCUCCAAUGAUGUUUUAGUACCUUAAAAUGUUAAUGAGUCUGAGAAACUGGUACCCUGGGCAGCUACUUGCGACCCACUUGUUAAUUUAUCUCUGCUACCUAGAUAAGGAUCUCAAUGUCUUUCUCCCUAGAUUGGAUUUCUAAAGUACCAGAAUUAGCCCAGAUGGGUGUGGUGCUCGCCUAAGUCUGACGUUGCAAUCCAUUAAUCUUCUGAACUCUUAAACCUCCUUCACAGCUUAAAUUUCAUGGUCUAUCAUUAUAAUUCCAUCUCAACUCUUUAUGGCAAAACCAUGUUUGAGGGUUAAAUCCGUAUCUCCACCAACUUCUUGCCUACAUUUGGACAGUAUGUAAAUGGAGGAAAAUUUACUGCUAUUCUAACUGACCUCCAGAAAGCAAAAUUAUCAGCUGAGAGUGAGUAUGGUAAAGAUAGAAAUACAUAUUGGAGAUUUGGGGCAUGACACUCACCUAUCAUAUUUACUUUCGUACCUACAUUGUACCUUUCAUAUGCCUGCAUAAGUUGUUUAUAUGGAUGAACUGGCAAUGCUCCUACCUAUGGUCAACCUCUCCACAUGUGCAGUAAGUAGAUCUCAUUCUCUCUACAUGAGGAUAUUGCUUCAAAUCUCCCUUCUCUCUUACAUUAUCAAUUUGCCCUUUCUUCUGGGGCUACCUCAUCAGCAUAACAUCUUACUGUUAUUUCUCCCAUCUUCAAAUUCUUUCUUGAUUGUUCUUUUCCCUUCAGCUGUCAUCCCUUCAUUCUCUUUCCCUUAAUUGAUGAACUCCUUGAUGAAAUUUACUGAACUAGUGCUUCCUGUUCCUCUGCCCUCAUUCCCUCUUGAAUCAACUCCAUUCGGACUUUGGCCCCUACCCAUUCCAUCAAAACUCUUGUUAUCAAGCCUCGAUUGGCCGUUGCAUUUCUAAACACAAUGCUCAGUUUGUAGUCCUUAGCAGAGUUGAGCACCUCUUCCUCUUUCAUCAUCUGGCUUCCAGGACGUCAUACUCUCUUGGUUUUACCAUUUCACUAGAUCCUCCUUCUCAGUCUCCUUUGCUGAAUAUUAUUCUCCUCUUAAUGUUAUUGUUCUUCAGGACUUAGUUCUUCUUAUCUCUAUCUACAGUAGACUCACCCCUGGUGAUAUCACUGAAUCUCAUGGUUUUAAGUAUAAUUUCUAUACAAAUGACUUUCAGAUUUAUAUCUCUUGUUCAGACAUUUCUCCUGAAAUUCAGACCUCUACUUUCACUUGCCUACUUGACAUCUUCAUUUGAAUAUCUGUUAAGAAUCUAAUACUUCAGUCUAAAACUCAACUCCUGAUAUUCUACCAACUAAUUGCUUUUAUCCAUAGCCUUCUCUGUCUCACUGGAGGGCAGCUCUAUUCUUCCAGUUUCUCAGUCCAAAACAUUUGAGUUCUCUAAGAUUCCUCUUUAUCUUUCUUUCCUGCUUAUAAUAAUUAUUUUAUAAGAUGCUAUGUCCUUUACCUUGAAAAUAUUUGUCCAGAAUCUGACCACUUCUUGCUAUCUCCACUGCCACCACCACCAUGUCUAUCGAUCAUGAUUAUUGCACUAGCCUUAUAACUGGUUUCCCUGAUUCUCUGUUUGUGCCUCUACUGUCCAUUUACAACAGAGCAGCAAGAGUGCUUCUUUUAAAAUGUAAGUGAAAUUGUAUCAUUCAUCUGCUAAAAAUCCUGCGAUGGCUCCCUAUUUUACUCAGAGGAGAAGCCAAAGUCCUCACAAUGGGUAACAGGGCCUUGCAUAUCUCACUCACUUCUAGACACAAUGACCACUUUUCUGAUCCUUCAAAACUCCAAGAACACUCUUCAGUUCCUUCAGCUUUCCUCUUAGAUAUGCACAUGCUAAUCUCCUAACCUCAUUUAAGUCAUUGUUCAGAAGUCACAUUUUUAGUGAGUCUACCCUGACCGCCUAUUUAAAAUUGCAGUCUCCCAUAUCCUGAUGCCUCCUAAUCUGCUCUUUUGUUUUCUAUAGAGCUUAUCAUCUUCUAACAUACUAUAUGAUUUACCUUUUUAAUAUUUGUUUAUUCUGUUAUUAUUCUACUGAUCAUCUCUUACAUAUGAAAAUGUAAUCUCCCUCUAAAAUUAGGGGUUUGUAUGUUUUUUUGCAUUAAUAUUUUUGAUCAUCUAGAACAGUAUGCCUGGCAUAUAGUAGGUACACUUUCAACAAAGCUUGAAAACCAGCCUUAAAAGUAUCAACCUAAUUUGUAAGUAAACUCAUGCCCUGGCAGACAAAUCUUCAUACUCUUUAAAGGAACACAACAGAAUCCAGACACAAAAUCCAGACAACAAAAUGCAAACACUGGAUAUCAUAGCAUUUAUAAUACCUAACAUCUAAUUUUUUAAAACUACUGUACUUACAAAGAAGUAGGAAAAUAUGACCCACAACCAUGAAAAAAGUCAGCUAGUUCAAGGCAAAUGUGUAAAAGAGAAAAAUGGCUUUGGUGCUUUCUUCCUGUACAUUCAGUGAAAUCUCACAUCUCAAAGCUUUCUAAGCUUGCAACAUAGCCCCCAGCUCACAGUGCUCAGAGCUUCACACAGCAGUGCUCUCUCUUCUUUCUCUUCCUCUAUAUGCAACUUAACUCAUUUGAUCUGUCUUUAUAGUAUUCUUUUUUACUUAGUUUCUCUCUCCUGUAUAUAUCAAGUUUCAACUGGCUAAUCUUUUAAUCUAAUAUAUUAUAACGAGGAAAGGCUAAAGCUACAAAAACUUCCCCAUGUCUAUACUACGUGGGGCCUCUCUUUACCACACCAUGGUAUUGUCAUCUUACUCUAAAUUGUAGAAACUUCACUUGAAUAGAGGAAGAGUAAUUGAUUAGAAAAGUUCACUUUGAAGGGAAUCUCAUGGAACCACCGAUGGAUAGGGUGGAUGCCUACUUUGAAUUUCAUUUCUGGGGGCCAAACCAAUCAUUAUUGUUGUUACUGGGGCACGAGAUCAGGGAUGGACAGGCUGUGAUGGUGAUGGGAAGCAAAAUCACCAAGUAUUGGCCAGAUUUUCUUAAUUUUCUCCUGCCUUAGAUUGGGAUUGCGGUGCUUGAGACUGAUGUGGGGUGCACCCAGCAAGAAGAUACCAAGUAACCCCAGAUGGAGGAUGAAAGAGAAGAGAAAUGUCACUCCUAGCAUGAUUGAUCAAAAUGUGUUUUAUUAUUGGUAUUGGCGGUGAAUCAAACAUGCGACUUCACACACACAACGUAUUCUUUGGAGUACUGCUUCAGGUUCUUGCCCUAUAAACAAAGAACGUCUGUUAAAUUCUACAUCAAACAAUUUCCAUCAACAAGUAAAAGGAUGGGGGCUGCCCUGUGGCCGAGUGGUUAAGUUUGCCGUGCUACACUCUGGCAGUCCUGGGCUCACUGCUUUGGAUCCUGGGCACACACCUAGCACCACUCAUCAAGCCAUGGUGAGGCGGCGUCCCACAUAGAAGAACUAGAAGGACGCACAGCUAGGAUACACACCCAUGUACUAGGGGGCUUUGGGGAGGAAAAAAAGGAAGAUUGGCAACAGAUGCCAGCUCAGGGCCAAUCUUAAAAACAAAAUGUCAAUGAAUGUCUGGCAUGUUUAUAAUUGUAUUCACUGAAUUUUGAACAUAUUCCUAAAAGGAGAAAACAAUUUUUUUGACUAAGGAAUAGUGAGAACCAAAUAUUCCACUUAGAAUUUUGCAUGUCUGAUAAUUGGAAGUGUCUUCCACAGAUUAGCUCCGUGCUCCAUGUAUUUCAAGUCUUAUCCAUCUGCCAUGACUCACAUUUGUCUUAUCCAGGACACACUUAUAUCAAGAUGGGCUGCACAUUUAUAUCACAUCACAACAACACAUGAUUUGGCAUAGUGGGCUGUAGGAAUGUUCUGGAAAUUUCUUCCUAUACUGGGACAGGUAGGAAUAAUUUAAACUUAACAUAAAUGACCAAAAAAAAAAAAAAACCAUAAAUAUAUCCCACUAAACCCAACUUAAAUAUAUCCCUAACUCAACUUUUCCUUAGCUCUAUUCCCAAAGUUUCUGUUGACCUCCAGGCCACAAAGUGGAAGGGAAGUACUGAGGGGAAUUUGCAGUGAAAGAGCAGUGGUCUUCACAGAUCAUGAUUAAUGCAGUUUGCUUUGGCAAAGUUUACAAAAACAUAUCACACGACCUUGGGGACAAAUUGCUGGGGUAACCCUCCGAGCCUAGAAAGAGCUCGUGGAAGAGAGAGACCCUGAUGCAAAUGCCAUCGCAGGUUAUGACUAGAUCUGCCUCUGGCAUGUUUCAUUUGCUCUGCUGUAGACUGCCACCGUAUAGAAGAAACAAACUCCUGUGCCCGUUUCUUAGCUGAUACGAUACCCAGCAGGAUGUCCCCUCCCUUCCAACAGUGUUAAAUGCUUUCUCCAGAGAGUUCCUUUAAAGAGUCUGAAAUUCCCAGACAAAGAAGAACCACUGGGUCAUGAGAGCAAGAGUAGCUUCACUCCCCUGCUACAACGUCCACAUGAGCUCUCAAGAUCCAUUUGUACAUAAUCUGCUUAGGGUUAAAAUCCUGGCUCAGGCAUUUACUACCUGUACAAUGUUGACCAAGCUACUUUAACGUACCUGAGCCUUACCUCCUCAUCUGUAAAAUACGCACUGUUAUAUCUACACCAUAGCAAUGAUUGCUAUGAGGAGUACAGGAAAUAAAUGAUGUUAAGUACCAAGCGUAAUGCCUGGUUCAUAGUGGGUGCUCAGUAAGUGGCAGCUAUGGUUGUCCUAAUCCUCAUGGUUACUUUUUAUUUGUCAUAGACUCCCAAUUGAUUUAUUCAGAAACGUAGACUGUGAGCUCCGAAAGUGGAACCUAUCAGUUGAUUCAUCUUUGUAUCCGCUAUGCAUAGCACAGUGUCCGUUACAUACAGUAGGGGCUUAGUGAAUAUUAUGGAACUGAAUUGGCAGAAUUUGGACAAAACUCUUAUACACCCAGCUACAAACUUUGGAAAAGAGCUUUGCCUCGCUUUUCUAUCACCAAUUGCUGCACAGAAAACCUUCCCUCUCAGUGGGUCACUCCUGAGAGUGGAUUACUAUGUAAUGGGUGUCACCUAUUCCUCAUUACUAAUCCCAUCUCUGUCAUUUACUAGUCUGAUGCUUUGGACAAAUGACUUUGCCUCAGUCUUUUUAUCUGUAAAGUGAAGAUAGUAGUUUCUCCCUCCUGGGGCAGUUGUAAAGAUAAAAUGAGUUAAUACACACAAAGCUCUUAGAAAAGUGCUUGAUAGAGAAAAUGUGCCACAAAUGUAACUAUUAUUAGUUAUCACCAAAAUAUCCCAGGCUUUGUGCUAGAAUUUGGGUUUUCGGAGCUCAGUAAAAUGCUACCAAGCGCCAUUCUCGGGUGGGCCUUUUCGGCAAUAGUCUUUCUCAUUGUGUUUUUCACACUUCUCACUGUUCAGCCUCUGUUUACUAUUUUUCUCCUCCAGCCUCCACAUAGGACACAGGAAGCUUCUGUCUGGUUAUUAUGCUUUAGUGACAGCACAUGAGGCUAUAUACUUGCUUUUAAAAUUCUUCGCUCUCGACACCUGAACAAACUUUAGAUUUGGUAGAAUAAGCUGGUUAGGAAUCCAUCCAAGGAAUUUAAUGAGAGGACUUAACAAGAGCUAACAGAGCACUUCAAACUAAUGCUCACCAUAUGUAAAUGUGUGCCUUUCCUCUCGUGAGUGAAAAUAGAAACAUGAUUAGGAGAAAAACUUGAGUAUCUGUGCAGAAGAUGUCUGCAAUAUGGGUUUAAUUUUAAUAAGCAUUUUAAUAUUUCCUUACCAUUUUAAUGAUUUUAAUACAGAGUAGGGCAUCGCAUUAGUUUACAAAGUGAAUAUUUUCAUAUUCUGCCACACUGCUUUGCAUUUUCAAGCAGAAUCAACUUUUCUUGUUUCUUGGACUUCUUUCCCCUUGACUUGAGCUGGUCAUUGAUCUACGUAAUCUCUAAACCUCCUUCCAUUUAAUCCAUUUGUUAUUUUAGGACAUCUAAAGCAUUUCGGCUACUGACUAUUUUGGCAUCAGGGCCAUCUAAGUCAUGCAUAGGUUUGUUAUUCCAGUAUAGUCAUUCCCCAAAUUCAUUUAUUGACUUAUCAUGGAUAUUUCUCUUGUAUUUCUAAGCUCUGGCAUCAUUUAUUAGGAAGAUAAAUGAGAGUAAUUAAGCUUCAAGGCCAUAAGUGUUGAAACUCUUUGGAAUUAGAAAGCUAUUAAAAUGACGGAGUGCUUGGCUCUGCCUAGGUAAGUCCUGAUCUUUCACCUAUGGCUCUACUACUUGGAGUAACCUUUGCUGGCUCUCCUAACAGCACUCGAUGUUUUCAUGAGGCCAAAUAUAACCCCACAGGCAGUGCCUUGGAUGGAUGGCCAGUUUGUUUUCAAAGGCCAUUUUGACUAGAUUACAUAGCACUAGACUAGAC